This 248-nucleotide long non-coding RNA is filed under the name Elaeis guineensis (African oil palm). RNAcentral's name for it is "long non-coding RNA (EGUI_LNC007955)". The record is from RNAcentral. Lineage: Eukaryota; Viridiplantae; Streptophyta; Magnoliopsida; Arecales; Arecaceae.
AUAGUAAGAAGCCAACUCUUAGGUACCUCAAGAUUUGGAGAUGUCUGGCCCAUAUCAAGCGACAGCAUGCGGACAAGUUAGAUGCUAGAUUAUUUAGGACUCGCUUUAUAAGGUAUCCUAAGAAAACCAUGAGAUACUACUUCUAUCUUCCUGAGAAUCACAAUGUGAUUAUGAGCUGUCAUACCAUCUUUUUGAAAAAGAAGUUUACCAAGAUGGAGGCAGUGGUAGGAGGAUUGAGCUCCAAGAAA